GCUGAGCUGGCAGAGUGGCAUUGCACCUGACUGUAGACCAGGCGACCCGAGCGUUCAUUGGAGGUUCGAUUCCUUCGCUCAGCA
RNAcentral lists this transfer RNA (84 nucleotides) under Acidobacteriota bacterium. RNAcentral describes it as "Acidobacteria bacterium tRNA-Tyr". It matches the Rfam family "tRNA". From Rfam's summary of the family: Transfer RNA (tRNA) molecules are approximately 80 nucleotides in length. Their secondary structure includes four short double-helical elements and three loops (D, anti-codon, and T loops). Further hydrogen bonds mediate the characteristic L-shaped molecular structure. tRNAs have two regions of fundamental functional importance: the anti-codon, which is responsible for specific mRNA codon recognition, and the 3' end, to which the tRNAs corresponding amino acid is attached (by aminoacyl-tRNA synthetases). tRNAs cope with the degeneracy of the genetic code in two manners: having more than one tRNA (with a specific anti-codon) for a particular amino acid; and 'wobble' base-pairing, i.e. permitting non-standard base-pairing at the 3rd anti-codon position. RNAcentral also lists the same sequence under 1 other name. The record is from RNAcentral. Lineage: Bacteria; Pseudomonadati; Acidobacteriota.